CCCUGGUAGUCCGCACGGUAAACCAUGGAUGCCCGCUGUUGGUCUGAAUAGGUCAGCGGCCAAGCGAAAGCAUUAAGCAUCCCACCUGGGGAGUACGCCGGCAACGGUGAAACCCAAAGGAAUUGACGGGGGCCCGCACAAGCGGAGGAACAUGUGGUUUAAUUCGAUGAUACGCGAGGAACCUUACCCGGGCUUGAAUUGCAGAGGAAGGAUUUGGAGACAAUGA
Molecule: ribosomal RNA, 226 nt
Filed under: uncultured bacterium
Lineage: Bacteria
Description: partial 16S ribosomal RNA
Rfam family: Bacterial small subunit ribosomal RNA
Source: RNAcentral